GACGAACGCUGGCGGCGUGCUUAACACAUGCAAGUCGAACGAAGAGCGAUGGAAGCUUGCUUCUAUCAAUCUUAGUGGCGAACGGGUGAGUAACGCGUAAUCAACCUGCCCUUCAGAGGGGGACAACAGUUGGAAACGACUGCUAAUACCGCAUACGAUCUAAUCUCGGCAUCGAGGAUAGAUGAAAGGUGGCCUCUACAUGUAAGCUAUCACUGAAGGAGGGGAUUGCGUCUGAUUAGCUAGUUGGAGGGGUAACGGCCCACCAAGGCGAUGAUCAGUAGCCGGUCUGAGAGGAUGAACGGCCACAUUGGGACUGAGACACGGCUCAGACUCCUACGGGAGGCAGCAGUGGGGAAUCUUCCGCAAUGGACGAAAGUCUGACGGAGCAACGCCGCGUGAGUGAUGACGGCCUUCGGGUUGUAAAGCUCUGUUAAUCGGGACGAAAGGCCUUCUUGCGAAUAGUGAGAAGGAUUGACGGUACCGGAAUAGAAAGCCACGGCUAACUACGUG
This 510-nucleotide ribosomal RNA is filed under the name uncultured bacterium. RNAcentral describes it as "partial 16S ribosomal RNA". It matches the Rfam family "Bacterial small subunit ribosomal RNA", at positions 28 to 507 of the family's 1533-position model. The record is from RNAcentral.